This 613-nucleotide long non-coding RNA is filed under the name Ananas comosus (pineapple). RNAcentral describes it as "long non-coding RNA (ACOM_LNC026264)". The record is from RNAcentral. Lineage: Eukaryota; Viridiplantae; Streptophyta; Magnoliopsida; Poales; Bromeliaceae.
CAUUUUCUUUCUCAAAUUCAUGUCAUUUACUGCAUUCCUUUUCUUUAUCAAAUCCUAAUCGCAAAAAUUAAAAAUUUUAAAUUUAUAUUAUAAUAAUUCGUUGGAUUAAAUUACCGGCCCAAAAUAUUUAAACCUAUUUAUUAUUACUAGCAUGUUGGCCUCAUAUAUUCUAGUUAGAAUCAAUUUUUCAGCUGAUGUGGGACUAUUGAGAUGUUAUAUUAGAUGUAAGAUAUACAUCCCACCAUUUCAAAAUCUCAUCUUUUGUUUCUAACAUAAUCAACUAAUCAACAUUUUUUUUAAUAUACAUACUAAACAUUAUUUAGGUUUUUGUAAUCCUUUGCAGGGUGUNGUGAGACUAUUGGGAUGUUAUAUUAGAUGUAAGAUAUAAAUCCCACCAAUUCAAAAUCUCAUCUUUUGUUUCUAACAUAAUCAACGAAUCAACUUUUUUUUUUUUAAUAUACAUAAUAAACGUUAUUUAGGUUUUUGUAAUCCUUUGCAGGGUGUACAGAUAGUAUUUUUCUGCUUCUUUUCUCAUAAAAAUAAAGAAUUGCAAUUUUACAAAUAUAUACACCCCACCAUUUUGAAAACCCAUCUUUUGCUUCUAACAAAAGUC